UGCUAUUGGAAGAAACCUAUCUUGCUCCCUUAACGAGUGAUCUCCGUUGUGUCCUCCGCCUGAUUCGUUAUCCGAAUCCGCCAUUGACUAAAAGAUGAAAUUACCGAUAUGGAGGAUACGCCGUGAGUGAACGGCGGAGAUACGAGGAUUCCGGUGAUGGAAAAAAGGUGUUUGAUAAGGGAGAAUAUGAUUUGGAGGGAAUGAGAGAGGAUUAUAUCCGUCGGAUCAAGUUGUAUAAGAACUCUAUUGGAAGAAUACUGGCCGUUAUUUAUCGAUAAGUGUUGGUCCGUAGUGGCGAAAUAUAGGCCGUUGGAUUAAGAAGAUAGUGGAAGUAUGUGGACCAUCGAUAGAGCAUCGGCGGAACUUGGUCGGCCAAUAUAAUAAUACUAUUUAUUAUAUUUAGUAUUUAUUUAGGAAUUGAGAAUAUAAGGCUGUUAAAUAC
Molecule: long non-coding RNA, 442 nt
Organism: Erigeron canadensis
Lineage: Eukaryota; Viridiplantae; Streptophyta; Magnoliopsida; Asterales; Asteraceae
Exons: 2
Source: RefSeq, a predicted model, not a curated record